UUUUAUUGUCAUUUCACAUGUUGUGGUGUCAUUCAGUCUUUCUCCUCUUCCGCAGGCAUGGUGUGUAAUCGGUUUGCAUCUGUCAUCUUCGUUAGCAGCAAGACCAAGCGGGAACUGCUCAACAAUAUAGUGAGGAGAAAGAGACUGCGCGUGGAUCCCUGUCUCCAACCUGGUAGCUGCUGCUCAUCCUCCUGCUGGGAGAGCAGGUUGUCGAGGAUGCACCGUUGGUAGGUCGGCAGCCGCGGCGCCCUCACACUGCUCGGCUACGUCGCGAUGGCUCCAGGUGAUGACUCCAUACCCGACCUGCAUGCAACAACGUCAUUAAUCGCUUAAUCGAUAGUACAAACAGUCAAUGUUACUUACAAGAUCAGACGUCACGUAUUAUGUUUGUUGUUUGUUACGUAUGAUGUAGUAUAAUCAAUAAAUGAUUACAUGUUGUAUUGAAA
Molecule: long non-coding RNA, 446 nt
Organism: Priapulus caudatus
Lineage: Eukaryota; Metazoa; Priapulida; Priapulimorpha; Priapulimorphida; Priapulidae
Exons: 3
Source: RefSeq, a predicted model, not a curated record